This 467-nucleotide ribosomal RNA is filed under the name uncultured bacterium. Its description in RNAcentral is "partial 16S ribosomal RNA". It matches the Rfam family "Bacterial small subunit ribosomal RNA", at positions 28 to 506 of the family's 1533-position model. The record is from RNAcentral.
GACGAACGCUGGCGGCGUGCUUAACACAUGCAAGUCGAACGGAAAGGCCCUGCUUUUGUGGGGUGCUCGAGUGGCGAACGGGUGAGUAACACGUGAGUAACCUUCCCUUGACUUUGGGAUAACUUCAGGAAACUGGGGCUAAUACCGGAUAGGAGCUCCUGCUGCAUGGUGGGGGUUGGAAAGUUUCGGCGGUUGGGGAUGGACUCGCGGCUUAUCAGCUUGUUGGUGGGGUAGUGGCUUACCAAGGCUUUGACGGGUAGCCGGCCUGAGAGGGUGACCGGCCACAUUGGGACUGAGAUACGGCCCAGACGCCUACGGGAGGCAACAGUGGGGAAUAUUGCACAAUGGGCGGAAGCCUGAUGCAGCAACGCCGCGUGCGGGAUGACGGCCUUCGGGUUGUAAACCGCUUUCGCCUGUGACGAAGCGUGAGUGACGGUAAUGGGUAAAGAAGCACCGGCUAACUACGU